This 824-nucleotide ribosomal RNA is filed under the name uncultured Chloroflexota bacterium. RNAcentral's name for it is "bacterial SSU rRNA". It matches the Rfam family "Bacterial small subunit ribosomal RNA", at positions 49 to 911 of the family's 1533-position model. The record is from RNAcentral. Lineage: Bacteria; Bacillati; Chloroflexota.
UAAUGCAUGCAAGUCGCACGAGUUGCCUUCGGGCAGCUAGUGGCGCACGGCUGAGGAACACGUGCGUACCGACCCUACCGUGGGGUAUAACACCGCGAAAGCGGUGCUAAUUCCGCAUACGCUCUGUGGAGGAAAGCCUUCGGGCGCGGUAGGACGGACGUGCGGCCCAUCAGGUUGUUGGUGAGGUAAUGGCUCACCAAGCCGAUGACGGGUAGCUGGUCUGUGAGGACGACCAGCCAGACUGGGACUGAGAACGGCCCAGACUCCUACGGGAGGCAGCAGCAAGGAAUUUUCCCCAAUGGGCGCAAGCCUGAGGGAGCAACGCCGCGUGCGGGAUGACGGCCUUCGGGUUGUAAACCGCUUUUCGGUGGGACGAUAAUGACGGUACCACCGGAAUAAACCCCGGCUAACUCUGUGCCAGCAGCCGCGGUAAGACAGAGGGGGUAAGCGUUGUCCGGAUUUACUGGGCGUAAAGGGCCCGCAGGUGGUUGGGCAAGUGGCCGUUGAAAUCACUCGGCUUAACCGGGUGGCGUAUGGCCAAACUGCUCUACUCGAGCCGUACAGAGGUCGAUGGAAUUGCCGGUGUAGUAGUGAAAUGCGUAGAUACCGGCAGGAACACCAAGGGGGAAGCCAGUCGACUGGGUACGUGCUGACACUCGGGGGCGACAGCGUGGGGAGCGAACCGGAUUAGAUACCCGGGUAGUCCACGCCGUAAACGAUGGACGCUCGGCGCGUGGGUGCUAUUGACGCACCUGGGCGCCUAAGCCAACGCGGAAGCGUCCCGCCUGGGAACUACGAGCGCAAGCUUAAAACUCAAAUGAAUU